GAUGAACGCUGGCGGCGUGCCUAACACAUGCAAGUCGAGCGAGGGUUUGCUCAGUAUUGAGUAUUCUAAAACUAGAAUGUUCAAGUCUGAGCAAAACCAAGCGGCGGACGGGUGAGUAACGCGUGGGUAACCUGCCCUAUACACAUGGAUAACAUACUGAAAAGUUUACUAAUACAUGAUAAUAUAUAUUUGCGGCAUCGCAGAUAUAUCAAAGUGUUAGCGGUAUAGGAUGGACCCGCGUCUGAUUAGCUAGUUGGUGAGAUAACUGCCCACCAAGGCGACGAUCAGUAGCCGACCUGAGAGGGUGAUCGGCCACAUUGGAACUGAGACACGGUCCAAACUCCUACGGGAGGCAGCAGUGGGGAAUAUUGCACAAUGGGCGAAAGCCUGAUGCAGCAACGCCGCGUGAACGAUGAAGGUCUUCGGAUCGUAAAGUUCUGUUGCAGGGGAAGAUAAUGACGGUACCCUGUGAGGAAGCCCCGGCUAACUACGUGCCAGCAGCCGCGGUAAUACGUAGGGGGCUAGCGUUAUCCGGAUUUACUGGGCGUAAAGGGUGCGUAGGUGGUCCUUCAAGUCGGUGGUUAAAGGCUACGGCUCAACCGUAGUAAGCCGCCGAAACUGGAGGACUUGAGUGCAGGAGAGGAAAGUGGAAUUCCCAGUGUAGCGGUGAAAUGCGUAGAUAUUGGGAGGAACACCAGUAGCGAAGGCGGCUUUCUGGACUGCAACUGACACUGAGGCACGAAAGCGUGGGUAGCAAACAGG
Molecule: ribosomal RNA, 762 nt
Filed under: uncultured Peptostreptococcus sp.
Lineage: Bacteria; Bacillati; Bacillota; Clostridia; Peptostreptococcales; Peptostreptococcaceae
Description: bacterial SSU rRNA
Rfam family: Bacterial small subunit ribosomal RNA
Source: RNAcentral